Molecule: long non-coding RNA, 311 nt
Organism: Pundamilia nyererei
Lineage: Eukaryota; Metazoa; Chordata; Actinopteri; Cichliformes; Cichlidae
Exons: 3
Source: RefSeq, a predicted model, not a curated record
AUUCUCAGAUGCAGAUGCACAAAGUCUUUCAGGGGCAAACUUAGGUGUCCCCAACCACUCCUACCCACAGACAGCAAAGAGAAACAGGCUCUGAACAAAUGCCUCUGCAGCUCAGGAAAACAAGGCAAGCGUCCAGACCUUCUGCGAUUCUGCCACAGAAGUGUGUUUGGGGGAGCUGCCACACCGCUCUGACAUAAAUCAGUGGAAUUAUAAACGAACUUGAUAUAAAAUUACAUUUUGUAUGAUAUUAAUCUUUUUAUAUGUUUGUGAAUUUUCUACUGCUGUAAAUAAAAAACAGAUCUUCAUCAGAG